AUUAAGAUGGAGGAUAUGCCUUCCUGUGUCUGCAAAUGAUGGCUAUAUUACUUCCAGGAUCAGAGGCAAGAUGAAUAUCAGUUGCUUGGGAAAAGCAGCAGGAGAGGGCUAUUACUUUCAUGCUCUGUUUGUGGACUUCCCAGAAGGCAUCCUGUUGACUACUGUGGGAAAUAAGAUGGUGGACUAGAUGAACCUUUGAUAUUCCCCCUGUACAUCUCCUUGCCCACCAAAGAUGAGAUGUGAUGAUCCUUGAUGCCUUUCACUAAUACAGAGCCAACGGUAACAACAUGGCUGUGCUAUUACCCCUGGUGACUUCAUUAGAAACGAAAAGUCCUUCAGCAAGGCACGAAGAAGAGCUUCACGGGGUCUCCAAGGAGAUUGUGUCUACGUUUCCAGAAUCCAGACAAGCCGCCUCCAACCAGCACAGUAGAAAAAAAUGCACUAAAUUGUCAUGUAGCUGGGCUGGGAGGGCAGGGGGGAGAGAAGCAAAUGAAUGCAGGCGCCAUCUCUUCACAGAAAAUAAAGCAUGAAAGCUCGUGUUCAUUUCUGCUUUAUACACUUACUC
Rhineura floridana is the source of this 565-nucleotide long non-coding RNA. RefSeq lists it as uncharacterized. The transcript has 3 exons. The record is from RefSeq and is a predicted model, not a curated record. NCBI's taxonomy places the organism in Eukaryota, Metazoa, Chordata, Lepidosauria, Squamata, Rhineuridae.